RNAcentral lists this ribosomal RNA (728 nucleotides) under Hylarana erythraea (green paddy frog). RNAcentral describes it as "partial 16S ribosomal RNA". It matches the Rfam family "Bacterial large subunit ribosomal RNA", at positions 1569 to 2535 of the family's 2925-position model. The record is from RNAcentral. Lineage: Eukaryota; Metazoa; Chordata; Amphibia; Anura; Ranidae.
UUAUACCCUUAUAAAAGCUAUAAUGCUAGAACUAGUAACAAGAAAAUGCUUUCUCCUAAAUGUACGUAUAAACCAAAAUGGACACACCAUUGGUAGUCAACGUAAAUGUACUCACUACAGUAACACAAACAAGAAAACCCUGUCACACCUAACGUUAACCUUACACUAGAACAUUCCAGGAAAGAUUAAAAGAGAAAGAAGGAACUCGGCAAACCCUAGCCCCGCCUGUUUACCAAAAACAUCGCCUCUUGAAAAAUAUAAGAGGUCCAGCCUGCCCAGUGACAAAGUUCAACGGCCGCGGUAUCCUGACCGUGCGAAGGUAGCAUAAUCACUUGUUCUUUAAAUAGGGACUAGUAUCAACGGCAUCACGAGGGCUGCACUGUCUCCUUUCUCCAAUCAGUGAAACUGAUCUCCCCGUGAAGAAGCGGGGAUUAUUAUAUAAGACGAGAAGACCCCAUGGAGCUUUAAGCAAUGAAUUUACCUUUAAUUGAAACUUCUACUAAUUUCAAAAGCCUAAUUCUAGCUUUUGGUUGGGGGGACCGCGGAGUAUAACUAAACCUCCGCAACUAAUGGGCUCUGCCCUUAUCUAUGAGCCACAGCUCUAAGAAUUAAUAAACUAAUGCCUUUGACCCGAAAACUCGAUCAAUGGACCAAGUUACCCUGGGGAUAACAGCGCAAUCUACUUUGAGAGCCCCUAUCGACAAGUAGGCUUACGACCUCGAUGUUGG